UACGUAGGUGGCGAGCGUUGUCCGGAUUUACUGGGCGUAAAGGGAGCGUAGGCGGACUUUUAAGUGAGAUGUGAAAUACUCGGGCUCAACUUGAGUGCUGCAUUUCAAACUGGAAGUCUAGAGUGCAGGAGAGGAGAAUGGAAUUCCUAGUGUAGCGGUGAAAUGCGUAGAGAUUAGGAAGAACACCAGUGGCGAAGGCGAUUCUCUGGACUGUAACUGGCGCUGAGGCUCGAAAGCGUGGGGAGCAAACAGG
This 253-nucleotide ribosomal RNA is filed under the name uncultured bacterium. RNAcentral describes it as "partial 16S ribosomal RNA". It matches the Rfam family "Bacterial small subunit ribosomal RNA", at positions 524 to 776 of the family's 1533-position model. The record is from RNAcentral.